UACGGAGGGUGCGAGCGUUGUUCGGAAUUAUUGGGCGUAAAGCGCACGUAGGCGGUCUGGUAAGUCUCACUGUGAAAGCCCGGGGCUCAACCCCGGGAGGCCAGGGGAUACUGCCGGACUGGAGACAGGCAGAGGCUGGUGGAAUUCCGGGUGUAGCGGUGGAAUGCGUAGAGAUCCGGAGGAACACCGGAGGCGAAGGCGGCCAGCUGGGCCUGAUCUGACGCUGAGGUGCGAAAGCGUGGGGAGCGAACAGGAUUAGAAACCCCCGUAGUCC
RNAcentral lists this ribosomal RNA (274 nucleotides) under uncultured bacterium. Its description in RNAcentral is "partial 16S ribosomal RNA". It matches the Rfam family "Bacterial small subunit ribosomal RNA", at positions 524 to 796 of the family's 1533-position model. The record is from RNAcentral.